UAAGAUGAGUAAUAAGGUG
RNAcentral lists this microRNA (19 nucleotides) under Schistosoma mansoni. RNAcentral describes it as "sma-miR-8482-3p". Lineage: Eukaryota; Metazoa; Platyhelminthes; Trematoda; Strigeidida; Schistosomatidae. The record is from miRBase by way of RNAcentral.